CCCUAUGGGGCGCCGGAGGCACCAGGGGGGGAAGAUCUCCUACGAGGACCGGCGGGACGGAACGCUCCUCGACCUGCGGGCGUCAUUUUACGUGACGGUCUGGGGCGAAAAGACGGUGCUCCGCAUCCUCAACCGGAAGGCGACGCUUCUCGAUCUCGACCAGAUCGGGAUGUUUCCCCUCAUGAUGGAGCGGUUCCGGAUGGACGCCCUGGACGUGCCGAGCGGGGUCAUUAUCAUAACGGGGCCUACGGGAUCGGGCAAGACGACCACCCUCUACUGUUGCGUCAACUACCCCAACAACAUCCACACGAGCAUCCUCACGGCCGAAGAUCCCGUCGAAUACGUGAUAGACGGAAUCUCGCAGUGCUCCAUCGACAGCAAGAUAAGCCUGACCUUCGAGGAGAGC
RNAcentral lists this ribosomal RNA (406 nucleotides) under uncultured prokaryote. RNAcentral describes it as "partial 16S ribosomal RNA". The record is from RNAcentral.